AGUCGAUAGUAUUUCUCUUUGGUUUCAUUGCAAUGUUUUUUCCCCAAAUAUUCUCAGUAUUUUGUUUCUUUAAACCAUGUUUGCAUCUUCAGCUAUUAACAAUACGUAAUAUAUUCUCAGUAUUUAGUUUCAUUUGUAAACUAUUUCUUUGGAGCUUAACUAUAAUGUUGUUUUUUUUAUAAAAAAUAAACAUAUGGUUUGCUUGACCUGGUUUUAAACUUCAAACAUAACUCAAAUAGCGUUUACAAUCUGCUUUAUAAACAAUUCAAGACGUGGAGACACUACUAUAUUUCUCUUUAGUUUCGUUGCAGUGUUCCAUGUUUGCAUCAUUUCAGCUAUUUAUAAAGGAGAACUGUUUAGUUUACUGUCUUAUUUGAUAGCUACUUUCCGUUUCUUGAUAUGGAUGCAGUUAAACGAGAUGUGAGCCAAUCAUAUGGAAAC
RNAcentral lists this long non-coding RNA (441 nucleotides) under Brassica napus (rape). Its description in RNAcentral is "long non-coding RNA (BNAP_LNC015412)". The record is from RNAcentral. Lineage: Eukaryota; Viridiplantae; Streptophyta; Magnoliopsida; Brassicales; Brassicaceae.